RNAcentral lists this transfer RNA (77 nucleotides) under Hyphomicrobiales bacterium. Its description in RNAcentral is "tRNA-Arg". It matches the Rfam family "tRNA". From Rfam's summary of the family: Transfer RNA (tRNA) molecules are approximately 80 nucleotides in length. Their secondary structure includes four short double-helical elements and three loops (D, anti-codon, and T loops). Further hydrogen bonds mediate the characteristic L-shaped molecular structure. tRNAs have two regions of fundamental functional importance: the anti-codon, which is responsible for specific mRNA codon recognition, and the 3' end, to which the tRNAs corresponding amino acid is attached (by aminoacyl-tRNA synthetases). tRNAs cope with the degeneracy of the genetic code in two manners: having more than one tRNA (with a specific anti-codon) for a particular amino acid; and 'wobble' base-pairing, i.e. permitting non-standard base-pairing at the 3rd anti-codon position. The record is from RNAcentral. Lineage: Bacteria; Pseudomonadati; Pseudomonadota; Alphaproteobacteria; Hyphomicrobiales. RNAcentral also lists the same sequence under 2 other names.
GCACCCGUAGCUCAGAUGGAUAGAGCGCUGCCCUCCGAAGGCAGAGGUCACAGGUUCGAAUCCUGUCGGGUGCGCCA